GCUGUCGGGUUUCCGGGAGAGGGCGCUGUCCUUGCUCAGUGAUGGCCGGAGAGCUGCACCCUGCACGUCUGGGCUUGAAGACAGAAAUCCACCGUGAGGUGCUCCAAGGAACACUGAUGGGCAGUUUUGUUAAAGUGAUUGAACUCCGUGGGUACAGGAGUACGUGGAGUAAUGAAGGAUAAUGCCCUGUAACCGCUUCCUCUUAGGAAUGCUAGCUUUCACAAUUGUGCAAACGCAUAAGGAAUAAAACUGUUCUUUUGAAAUGAAGAAGAGAACCACCUAGGAGACUAUCACCCUGACCUGAGGACUUCACUAGGGAUUCAGGAAAGAAGACACAGAAAGAAAGCAAUCCUCAAGGAUCAGAAUGGCCAGCAGGAGGCCAUAUGCACCUAAACCAGAUGGAAGAAAAUGGCCCGGGGUGACCAGCUGGCUCUCUUUAUCAAGCUCAGACUCCUCAAGUCCCCGCUUGGAAGAACAGUCACAGAUUCCAUAUACAGGAAUUCAAGAUCUCCAAGCAGCAGGGAGGGGGUUCAGAAUACAUAUUCAAGUUGUUGCAGCUCAAAACACUGAUGUAGACAUGGCUGGCACCAACGUGGCUCUAGGACAUACUCCAGCUGCACUAGGGAGGUGAAGCAGGAAUUCACUGAGCCCCAAGGAAUGGGAAACUGCUUCUUUUAGUUCUCCCAGAACUCUCCACAUUGAUCCCACUCUGGCUACCAGCACUAGCUGGACAGUAAUGACUCUCAGAGGUGAACACAAUAUGCCUCAACAUGCCUUUCUGGAAGUUCACAUAGGAACUGCACAGCACCUGAAUUCCAGUUCUGCAAAGCUCUUCUCUGAAUACUGGAGGUACCAGCAUGAUCCUGGCACUGCCCCUGCCUCCGCUGUCUGUCUAAUUGUAGCUCUCUGGGGCCACUCUUGUGAGUUUCUAAGUUCUGAGGACCUUAAUCUUUUCCACUGUUUCCCAGCCCUAGACAGGUAGCUGCUACCUGAUGUUGUCAUCCCGUGUUAGCUCAGUGUUCAUUUUUACCAU
This 1033-nucleotide long non-coding RNA is filed under the name Homo sapiens (human). RNAcentral's name for it is "HSALNT0357397". The record is from RNAcentral. Lineage: Eukaryota; Metazoa; Chordata; Mammalia; Primates; Hominidae.